This 721-nucleotide small RNA is filed under the name Pongo abelii (Sumatran orangutan). RNAcentral describes it as "processed transcript". Lineage: Eukaryota; Metazoa; Chordata; Mammalia; Primates; Hominidae. The record is from RNAcentral.
GUUAGAGUUAGAAGGUUCAGUGUUGAUGGAGUUAUUGAAGAAAUGAUAGAGUAAGAGACUCUUUUCUAAGCAACUCAAGUUUGCAGUGAUUCAGGCCUACUUCUGAAGAGACAGCCUUUUAUCUCAAUGAAUGACACAGGGUCUGAGAUUACUGACAUGCUUCCUGCUAUACCCAGCACUGAUUCCAAAUGGGACUGGGUCUGCAGAAAAACCAGCAGAUACUCCCUCUCAGGAAGAGGACUUUGGUGAUCCAAAGACAUAUGACCCAGAUUUCAAGGGGCCUGUUGCCAACAGACUAAACUGGGAACUCCGUGAGAGAAAUCAUCUUAUCUGUGUAGUUCACCAACGUUUCAUAGCGUCUGCCACAGUAUCCGGCACAAAAUAGGAGUUGUACAGAUGUUCUGUGCUGUAUGAUCUUCCUACUGUGCAUUAUUGGCUACAUUGUUUUAGGACUUGUGGCCUGGGUACAUGGGGACCCCAGAAGAGCAGCCUAUCCUACAGACAGCCAGGGCCACUUUUGUGGCCAGAAGGGCACCCCCAAUGAGAACAAGACCAUUUUGUUUUAUUUUAACCUGUUACGCUGUACCAGUCCCUCCGUGUUGCUAAACCUACAGUGCCCUACCACACAGAUCUGUGUCUCCAAGUGCCCAGAAAAAUUUUUAACCUAUGUGGAAAUGCAACUUUUGUACACAAAAGACAAAAGCUACUGGGAAGACUACCG